AUGGGAGACGAAUAUAUACCACCUAAAGGUGAAUGUGAGGACAGCACAGAUGAUUCGAACGGAAGUGAAGAAUUCUUCGAUGACACAAUUGACCUGAUAUCCAAACAGAAGGCCAAAAAAAAGAGGACAACUAAGAAAGACCAUACAGUGUCAUCAAAGCGCAGGUGCAGAGCGCCAGGUUCAUGGAAAGCAAGAAGCAGCAUCCUUACCACAUCAAAAAGUCCUCCUGUUGCGGAAGAUGGUGAUACACCACUGUCUCCUCCAUCUGUGUCUGUUCCUGCAGUCUCUCAAAAGUCAGAUGGGAAAAGGGUAUAUGACAAAAUGCAGUACUGCCAGUUUUGUGAAACUUCAGUAAAUAAAUAUGCAAGACAUCUGGAGCGUCGUCACAGUGCUUUGGCUGAAGUUGCCAAGGCUUUAAGUUACAAUAAGGGUUCAAAGGAAAGAAAAUGUCAUUUGAAUUUUCUAAGAAGCAGUGGCAACUUUAUGCACAAUGCAUCUGUGCUCAAGAGUGGACAAGGGAGCCUCAUCGCAAAAAAGCGACCCAGAACACACAGUUCGGAGAAAGAAUAUGUGCACUGUUCCCACUGCCUUGGCCUUUUUGUAAGAAAACUGUUGUGGAAACAUCUUAGAAAAUGCGAUAAACGGCCAUCCGAAGAAGGGGCACAGAAGACAUUUUCUAAAACUCGAGUGCUGGCCACCUGCUCUAUUGAACAACCUUCACCUUCAGGCACCCCUGAAAUGUUCAAUGAUCUGACCAAGAGCAUGCGUCAAGAUGAUGUCACUAAUAUUGUCAAAACUGAUCCAGCAAUCUGGGGUUUUGGCUGCCAUUUAAUGAACAAGGUCAUGGGUAGUAGUACUGACACAGUUGGCAAUAAGAAGACUGUCACACAACAGCUGAGGAGUCUUGGUAGGUUGAUAAAGGCAGCAAGAGAGAUAACAACUAUGAAGACAACCAAAGACCUAGUGAGCCCUGAGAAUUUCAAGGAGACCAUUAAAGUUGCCCGUCACGUAGUCGGAUUUGACGAAACGACAUCAAAGUCAGAAAUUCCAAGUCUUAAUGGUAAAUUGGGUACUGGAUUGAACAACAUGGCAAAGUAUGGCAAAGAGCCGAAGCACUGCAGUACUUAG
Molecule: long non-coding RNA, 1128 nt
Filed under: Gadus morhua (Atlantic cod)
Lineage: Eukaryota; Metazoa; Chordata; Actinopteri; Gadiformes; Gadidae
Description: lncRNA (ENSGMOG00000023852.1)
Source: RNAcentral